RNAcentral lists this non-coding RNA (152 nucleotides) under Leptolinea tardivitalis. Lineage: Bacteria; Bacillati; Chloroflexota; Anaerolineae; Anaerolineales; Anaerolineaceae. The record is from RNAcentral.
AAUCGGUGUGUACUUCAUGGAAGCCUGACCCCCGGAUGGGCAGGCUGAAAAAGCGAAACCGGUGACGCUUACGAGCCAGUCCGGUGCUGUUGCGCAACUGUAGGUCAGUGAUUCUGACAAGCCAGGUCGCCGUCCAUGAAUUGUUCACCGCA